MicroRNA precursor from Peromyscus maniculatus bairdii (prairie deer mouse), 59 nucleotides. The record is from Ensembl. NCBI's taxonomy places the organism in Eukaryota, Metazoa, Chordata, Mammalia, Rodentia, Cricetidae.
CCCUCCGCCUUCUCUUCCCGGUUCUUCCCGGAGUCGGGAAAAGCUGGGUUGAGAGGGCG